AGAACAACAAAGACAGAUUCUGCCAGUUGCUAUGGAGACCACGCCCUCCUACUUUACUAGGUCAAGAGCAAAUAAAGGCAAUUAAGAAGGACCUCAAAAAGUACUCAAAAAUCUUUGAACAAAAGGACAGACUGAGCCAGUCGAAGGCAUCUAAGGAGUUAGUGGAUAAACGUCGUUUGAUGAUGGAAGAAUACAGCCGGAACAAAGAAAGUGCCAUUCAGCUUUACAACCAACAGAGGGAGCUGCGCCUUCAGCUCAGAGGAGGUGUGGACACAGAUGAACUGGACAGUAAUGUGGAGGACUGGGAAGAGGAAACCAUCGAGUUCUUUAUCAGUGAAGAGAUCAUUCCUCUCGGAGAUCUAGAAUAGACCUACACAGAAAGCACUACUGUUUCCAGCUGUGAGACAAAAUGAUCACCCCCAGAGAGUACCACCAGUCCUUUACAAGUGCUUUGUAUGACCGAUACACCGAGUAUGUUUAUAUGCGCAGUUAUAAUCAAGCUGGUUUUUGCACAGUUGAGCAAAAAGUUCACACAAGUGCAUAAUCAAAUAUUUUAAGGAAGAAAUAUUUUGCAAAAGCCGGACUGGUAUGAUUCUAGUCGGCCUAAAUAACUUACAUGACAUUUUAAACAGACAAAUUAUUGUUUAAAUCGGACUAAAAUCAAACUUUUAAAGUGCAAGUAAACACGAUUACUGAGAAGGGAAGUUGUUUGAUUCUAAUAUGAAUUUAAGUAAGAGCUCAUAUUCUUCAUAGUCCCCCUUCAUACAAUUUUCUUGUGGAUUCACUGAAAGGAGUAAAAGGCAGUGAUUUAUCAUUUGCUAUUCUUACUGACAGAGCAAGAUACUUCUCAAUAACCAAUGGUACUGUUCUGUGGGUUAUCAUUUCUCCAAAGAAAACAUGUCUGAUACAAGAGAGGAAUUUCUUUUGUCUUUCUGUGGUCUGGUCUUUCGGAUAAGAACAUUUUG
This is a long non-coding RNA of Sinocyclocheilus grahami, 965 nucleotides long. RefSeq lists it as uncharacterized. The transcript is spliced from 4 exons. The record is from RefSeq and is a predicted model, not a curated record. Lineage: Eukaryota; Metazoa; Chordata; Actinopteri; Cypriniformes; Cyprinidae.